GGGAUUUUAGCUCAGCAGGGAGAGCGCUUGCUUCACACGCAAGAGGUCAUCGGUUCAAGUCCGUUAAAUCCCACCA
RNAcentral lists this transfer RNA (76 nucleotides) under Clostridiaceae bacterium. Its description in RNAcentral is "tRNA-Val". It matches the Rfam family "tRNA". Rfam says of the family: Transfer RNA (tRNA) molecules are approximately 80 nucleotides in length. Their secondary structure includes four short double-helical elements and three loops (D, anti-codon, and T loops). RNAcentral also lists the same sequence under 1 other name. The record is from RNAcentral. Lineage: Bacteria; Bacillati; Bacillota; Clostridia; Eubacteriales; Clostridiaceae.